Molecule: long non-coding RNA, 2169 nt
Organism: Carcharodon carcharias (great white shark)
Lineage: Eukaryota; Metazoa; Chordata; Chondrichthyes; Lamniformes; Lamnidae
Exons: 4
Source: RefSeq, a predicted model, not a curated record
AUUUUGCCAGUUUUCUGAUGAAGCAGACCAGGUCAGGUCAAGGAUUACUCGGACUACUUGGAGCACACGAAAAGGCAGACACGUGAAGCUGAUAAUUAGUUGGAGUGUCGACAAAAUGAUGUUUCACCCAUAACAGAACAAAAGAACAAGGACCUGAAAAUUACACCAUCAAACCACUAAACUCUGAAUGGUAGAAAGUUGUUAGCCAAUGAGAAGAUGCCACAGACUAGGCAAGCAAGCCUAAACCAACGGGGGAGACAGAGCACAGCUUGAAGAGAUAAGAUUCAGUAUAAGAAUGGAGAAUUUCGGGCGUGGAGGCAGCAAAAACUGUGGCGAACAACCAUCACGGAAGUGGAAGAACCUAUGUCAGCAACGUAUAGACGCAAGAGAGAGAGAAUGGAAUGCCUGGCCAGCAUCAACUCUCUUUUUCAGGUCCAGCCUAAAAUGAAGGGGAUAAUGCAUUUUGUUGCUAUCGGACUGACCAUCAUCAGAACUGCGGUUGAGCCUGCCUUGGAGCUGUCAAAAUGAAUGAACAUGCCUGAAGCAGUGUCUACGGUGGUGGGAUAUCCCAAGACCAGGAACAACUUUGCUCUGCAGAAUAAGACAGUCCAAACCAACAAAGGGAAAAGAGAGGACUUAAAUUUGUAUUAUAUGGGAAUGAAUGGGUUAACGUGCGCAGGAAAAACUUUGGGUAUACUGGAGGGUGCGGGAGUACAGUUUACAUGCAACAAAGUUCUAGAGGUUGACUGGGGUAGCGACUCAUAUCGGAGGUAUUUUGAUUGGGGAGGAUAUAGCAGGCGUUUUAGAAAGAUUGGCUGGAUCAUCAUCAAUUGUCAGUACUUAUGAAAAUUGUUCAAUGUCCAUUCUGUCUGUUAACAGCCAGUCCUUUUUACAAUACGCCCUUGUAGGACAAACAUAUUACAUAGCCACAGCGGCAAUGAACUAUAACGAAGGAUGGAAACAGUGCCUUCUGGAAAGGCACAAUGUGACCUUAGACCUGGUUAUUGGUAGACAAGUUCUGCCUAAGCCAAUAAUGAGGAUGGUAAUAAAUAAAAACUCAGUCCAACACACCGAUAUAGACCAAGAUCUGUGGAAAUACGUUCCUACCGAACUACCACCUAUUCCGCACCUGACUGCAGCUUGAACGCAAAUAGCGGAGGAAGCCAAUGAGAUAAUUCUUCAAUGGACUAAACAUAAUAAAAUAAUUAGAACUCAUGCUGAUAAAACAGAGGAAUGCUACGGGACCCCGGGUUCUGGGAUAAGUUUUGGAAUUGGAAAUCUAAUGUUCAAAUACAUCCAUGGGUCAGGAUUUUGUCACAUGCUGUAGUUGUGAUCAUAUGUGCAUUAAUACUUGUCACAUUCAACAUAUAUCAGCUUAGAAGGUGGAAAAUUGAAAUUUUGCACCGAAUGAAUGUUAGUGCUUUAAUGAAACAGAAGAAACGAUUAUCAGUAUAAAGGCAUUGUGUGAAGUAUAUUUUAUAUACACUUCUCUUUUAUAUUUUUAUAUAACCAUAUGAUAUCGCGAAUGUAACAUACCCAUUGGGGGACAGACAACCUCAGGAAUGGUACGCAGACAGGGAGAAUAAUGAUUUGUAUCUUUGGAUCAAAAGGGGGGAGAUGUUGGCCAAGGUCUGCAGCCAAACUGCUGACACAUAGGCAAAAGCAACUUUUGACCUGAAGUAACCCGAUUCCAGUCACUGCCCUGAGCUGGCUGGAACCAGUUUGAAAUAACUGACUUUCUUGGAAAACAAAGGGAAUGUGAUAAGACACAAGUCCUUAUUUAGGAAAGGAGUAACGAGGUAAUGUUACCUAAGUUCUUGGGACAGAGCCAAUGAGAAGAUGCCACAGACUAGGCAAGCAAGCCUAAACCAACGGGAGAGACACAGCACAGAGAUAAGAUUCAGUAUAAGAAUGGAGAAUUUUGGGCGUGGAGGCAGCAAAAACUCUGGAGAACAACCAUCACGGAAGUGGAAGAACUUAUGUCAGCAACGUAUAGACGCAAGAGAGAGAGAAUGGAACGCCUGGCCAGCGUCAACUCUCCUUUUCGGCUAUUAGCUUUUAUAUUCUGUGACUACUCAGGGAGUCAGAGAAACCUAGUGGGUGUGCGUUUAGAUCCUAGUUUUAGGUAUAAAACUGUAUAACCUGCUGUAAACUGCAUGUCUAUAUUCA